RNAcentral lists this long non-coding RNA (592 nucleotides) under Zea mays. RNAcentral's name for it is "long non-coding RNA (ZMAY_LNC005654)". Lineage: Eukaryota; Viridiplantae; Streptophyta; Magnoliopsida; Poales; Poaceae. The record is from RNAcentral.
CGCCGUAGCUAAAGAAUCAGUUGCGAGGCAAAAGAAGAAGUGAACUGGCCUGGUCGGUGGUUCCAUUGUACCUGUAAUUUGAUAUGUUUGAUGUUGCAGUAUGUUAGCAAUAUAGGAACUAAGUUGCUGUUUGGUUUAUAUGUUUGUAAUGUAAUAGAUAACAAAUAACGUUUGAUCAUGUUUGUUUAAGUCUAACCGUAAUCGGAUACCACACUAGAAAUUGUUACCAGCCUAUUCAAAUUUGUUACCGCUGGUAAUCGAAUGCAAAUCAUUACCGUUACCAUUUACGUUACAUUUUGGGAACCAAACGACACCUAGGAAGCUAGGUCUUAGUGAGUUUGUGGUGUCGUCAUUAGAUUUUGAUCUUCUUUACUUCUUUUUUUGGGCCGUGUUCGUUUUUUUAAACAGUGAUGUUCUACGUACGUGUAAAAUCCUUACGUUUGGUCUGUUACUAACAAUUUCUUAAUUCCACCUGUGCAUUCCAAUUAUUGAACUAAAUUUUGGACACCUGCACCUUCCAUAUGAAAUAAUGAGACAGGAUGGUUUUUAUCUAAAAAAUAUUAGGGAAGGAAUUGAGCAUGGUACAGCCUUG